RNAcentral lists this ribosomal RNA (440 nucleotides) under uncultured bacterium. Its description in RNAcentral is "partial 16S ribosomal RNA". It matches the Rfam family "Bacterial small subunit ribosomal RNA", at positions 338 to 795 of the family's 1533-position model. The record is from RNAcentral.
CCUACGGGAGGCAGCAGUAGGGAAUAUUGCUCAAUGGGGGAAACCCUGAAGCAGCAACGCCGCGUGGAGGAUGAAGGUUUUCGGAUUGUAAACUCCUUUUGUUAGAGAAGAUAAUGACGGUAUCUAACGAAUAAGCACUGGCUAACUCCGUGCCAGCAGCCGCGGUAUUACGGAGGGUGCAAGCGUUAGUCGGAACCAAUGGGCGUAAAGCGCGCGUAGGCGGGAUAGCAAGUCAGAUGUGAAAUCCUAUGGCUUAACCAUAGAACUGCAUUUGAAACUGUUAAUCUAGAGUAUGGGAGAGGUAGGUGGAAUUCUUGGUGUAGGGGUAAAAUCCGUAGAGAUAAAGAGGAAUACUCAUUGCGAAGGCGACCUGCUAGAACGUAACUGACGCUGAUGCGCGAAAGCGUGGGGAGCAAACAGGAUUAGAUACCCUAGUAGUC